UGCAGUCGAGGGGAACGGCAUUAUGUGCUUGCACAUUUUGGACGUCGACCGGCGCACGGGUGAGUAUCGCGUAUCCAACCUGCCCUUUACUUGGGGAUACCCCGUUGAAAGACGGCCUAAUACCCGAUGUAAUUCAUUGAUGGCAUCAGAUAUGAAUAAAAGAUUUAUCGGUAAAGGAUGGGGAUGCGUCUGAUUAGCUUGUUGGUGAGGUAAUGGCUCACCAAGGCGACGAUCAGUAGGGGUUCUGAGAGGAAGGUCCCCCACAUUGGAACUGAGACACGGUCCAAACUCCUACGGGAGGCAGCAGUGAGGAAUAUUGGUCAAUGGGCGCAAGCCUGAACCAGCCAAGUAGCGUGCAGGAAGACGGCCCUAUGGGUUGUAAACUGCUUUUAUACGAGAAUAAUUUGAUGCACGUGUGCGUUAUUGCAUGUAUCGUAUGAAUAAGGACCGGCUAAUUCCGUGCCAGCAGCCGCGGUAAUACGGAAGGUCCAGGCGUUAUCCGGAUUUAUUGGGUUUAAAGGGAGUGUAGGCGGUUUGUUAAGCGUGUUGUGAAAUUUAGAUGCUCAACAUUUAACUUGCAGCGCGAACUGUCAGACUUGAGUACACGCAACGUAUGCGGAAUUCAUGGUGUAGCGGUGAAAUGCUUAGAUAUCAUGAAGAACUCCGAUUGCGAAGGCAGCAUACGGGAGUGUAACUGACGCUUAAGCUCGAAGGUGCGGGUAUCGAACAGGAUUAGAU
Molecule: ribosomal RNA, 738 nt
Filed under: Prevotella pallens
Lineage: Bacteria; Pseudomonadati; Bacteroidota; Bacteroidia; Bacteroidales; Prevotellaceae
Description: bacterial SSU rRNA
Rfam family: Bacterial small subunit ribosomal RNA
Source: RNAcentral